UGCUAGUCGGGUUCAUUGACCACUGAGCCACGACGGGAACUCCCAAAGAGUCCGAGUUAGAAGCCACAUGAAGUUUUUUUCCCUUGGCUUGUGUGAUCCCGGGUUGAAAAGGAACUCCAAAGGUGUUUGGAAGUAGAGCAGCUCUGCGGAAUCAACGUCGUUUCUCCCUGGAUUUAUAUUCUCUCCUCCUCGAUUCAGUGCCUUCAUGCCAUUUAUUCUGUGUGCGUUGGUUUUCUGAGGACACGUGAAUGGGGAAAAGGAGGAAGACUGGCACGAUGGGCCUCAGGGUCUCUGUCGGUCAGAGUUGGAGCAGCAGUUCUGCAACUACCCGUUCUUUUAGGCUUUUUAACUGUCUUGCGUCAGGAACUGUUCAUCUGAGUGUUAGUGUUUAAAACCAAGUCAGGUUUAUUAAUUUAUUUGUGUUUUGGGUCGUGCUUAUGGCAUGUGGAAUUUCCCUGGCCAGGGAUUGAGCCACGCCAGAGCAGCAGUCAGAGCCAGAACAGUGACAAAGCUGGGUCCUUAACCCACUGUACCACCAGGGAACUCCUCAGUCUGGCUUACAAUAGGAAAAAGUUCCGAGUUUUAGUUUAGUGAAAAAAAUCAGAGUUAAUAGAUCUUGAAUUUUGAAACAAGUCUGUUUAAUUUUAAAACGUCGUGAAAGUUGUUUACAUGUUUGUUUCGGUUAAUGUUUGGUGGUUAAGAGUCAUAGGCCUUGAUGGCGAGGAGUGAUCUUUGCUGACCCUCAAUUCCUUGUUCCAGUACCCGGGUUUCAUAUUUUGCUGUUUUUGAUGGACAUGGAGGAAUUCGCGCCUCAAAAUUUGCUGCACAGAAUUUGCAUCAGAACUUGAUCAGGAAAUUUCCUAAAGGUGAGACUGAGAACCAGAGCACUUCUCGUUCAUCUCCGUGUUGGCUGUUGGUGCCGGUCGGUGAGGUGUCCUUAGCUUUUGUGAAGACUCGUUGCUGGAGUUCUCUGGGACUCAGCGGGUGAAGGACCUGGCGGCGUCACUGCUGUGGCUCUGGUUACGGCUGUGGAGCGGGUGCAGUCCCUGGUCUGGGAACUUCUGAGUGCUGCAGGCAUGGGCCUCUGCCCGUCCCCCGCCAAAACCCAGAACACAGCAGGAAAGAUGGAAGAGCGUCCCCGUUGAGUGUCGGAGGCAGGGCUUCGAGCGAGCAGGAGCUCUGGACCUGCGCACGGCUCUGCGUGCUUGGCGCCUCUCGCGAGGUGUCUGUGGGUGCGAGUGAGUGUCUUGUUUUCACACUUGGGAGGCUUCAGAGCUUGUCUUGGCCCUUCUGUGAUAGGAGACGUCAUCAGUGUAGAGAAAACCGUGAAAAGAUGCCUUCUGGACACUUUCAAGCACACGGACGAAGAGUUCCUCAAGCAGGCUUCCAGCCAGAAGCCUGCCUGGAAAGAUGGGUCCACCGCCACGUGCGUU
This 1433-nucleotide long non-coding RNA is filed under the name Sus scrofa (pig). RNAcentral describes it as "lncRNA (ENSSSCG00055028277.1)". The record is from RNAcentral. Lineage: Eukaryota; Metazoa; Chordata; Mammalia; Artiodactyla; Suidae.